CGCUUUUGAAUAAAUCACCAGUCCUACUAAUACUUAAAAAAAAAGGAUAUGUAAAUUUUGAUACUCAUGCAUGUUAAUUUGACAACAAAAUUGUAUAUUAUGUAACUUAUUAACAACAGUUAUUAUAGUCCAAAUAUAGUCUCUAUUGUGGGUUGUAUUUGUUGAUAGGUUACUGUCUCAAUAAUAUGUAUAUCAAGACGUGUUCCUUUGAAUGCGAAUAUACACC
This 226-nucleotide long non-coding RNA is filed under the name Mytilus galloprovincialis (Mediterranean mussel). Lineage: Eukaryota; Metazoa; Mollusca; Bivalvia; Mytilida; Mytilidae. The record is from RNAcentral.